Molecule: unclassified non-coding RNA, 348 nt
Filed under: uncultured fungus
Lineage: Eukaryota; Fungi
Description: partial contains 5.8S ribosomal RNA and internal transcribed spacer 2
Rfam family: 5.8S ribosomal RNA (bases 1-133)
Source: RNAcentral
UGGUUCUCGCAUCGAUGAAGGACGCAGCGAAAUGCGAUAAGUAAUGUGAAUUGCAGAAUUCAGUGAAUCAUCGAAUCUUUGAACGCACCUUGCACCUUUUGGUAUUCCGAAAGGUACAUCUGUUUGAGUGUCAUGAAUCCCUCAACCUCUGCAAUUUAUUGUUAGAGCGUUGGAUGCUGAGUGUUGCUGGUUACAGCUCACUUUAAAUGUAUAAGCAAUCUUGUUACAUCCGGAUUGACUCGGCAUAAUAAGGUCUUUGCUGAGGAUGCUUUACAGCAGCCGGUGUUACAAGUUGCUCCAAAUCAGUACUCUGAAUUAGACCUCAAAUCAGAUGGGACUACCCGCUGA